UAGUGAUCCGGUGGUUCUGAAUGGAAGGGCCAUCGCUCAACGGAUAAAAGGUACUCCGGGGAUAACAGGCUGAUACCGCCCAAGAGUUCAUAUCGACGGCGGUGUUUGGCACCUCGAUGUCGGCUCAUCACAUCCUGGGGCUGAAGUAGGUCCCAAGGGUAUGGCUGUUCGCCAUUUAAAGUGGUACGCGAGCUGGGUUUAGAACGUCGUGAGACAGUUCGGUCCCUAUCUGCCGUGGGCGCUGGAGAACUGAGGGGGGCUGCUCCUAGUACGAGAGGACCGGAGUGGACGCAUCACUGGUGUUCGGGUUGUCAUGCCAAUGGCACUGCCCGGUAGCUAAAUGCGGAAGAGAUAAGUGCUGAAAGCAUCUAAGCACGAAACUUGCCCCGAGAUGAGUUCUCCCUGACUCCUUGAGAGUCCUGAAGGAACGUUGAAGACGACGACGUUGAUAGGCCGGGUGUGUAAGCGCAGCGAUGCGUUGAGCUAACCGGUACUAAUGAACCGUGAGG
Molecule: ribosomal RNA, 509 nt
Filed under: Escherichia coli
Lineage: Bacteria; Pseudomonadati; Pseudomonadota; Gammaproteobacteria; Enterobacterales; Enterobacteriaceae
Description: partial 23S ribosomal RNA
Rfam family: Bacterial large subunit ribosomal RNA
Source: RNAcentral